GCGUUCAUAGCUCAGAUGGAUAGAGCACAGGCCUCCGACGCCUGGUGUCGAGGGUUCGAAUCCCCCUGGACGCA
RNAcentral lists this transfer RNA (74 nucleotides) under Lachnospiraceae bacterium. RNAcentral's name for it is "tRNA-Arg". It matches the Rfam family "tRNA". Rfam says of the family: Transfer RNA (tRNA) molecules are approximately 80 nucleotides in length. Their secondary structure includes four short double-helical elements and three loops (D, anti-codon, and T loops). The record is from RNAcentral. RNAcentral also lists the same sequence under 1 other name. Lineage: Bacteria; Bacillati; Bacillota; Clostridia; Lachnospirales; Lachnospiraceae.